Schistosoma haematobium is the source of this 45-nucleotide non-coding RNA. Lineage: Eukaryota; Metazoa; Platyhelminthes; Trematoda; Strigeidida; Schistosomatidae. The record is from Rfam.
AUCCAGCUGACGAACCCCGAAUAGGCCGAAACGUGCGUCCUGGAU